Molecule: ribosomal RNA, 917 nt
Filed under: uncultured fungus
Lineage: Eukaryota; Fungi
Description: eukaryotic LSU rRNA
Rfam family: 5.8S ribosomal RNA (bases 569-719)
Source: RNAcentral
CGUCCCCUUCUUGGUCAUUUAGAGGAAGUAAAAGUCGUAACAAGGUUACUUCUGUAGCGCAGCUCCGGAGACCUUGCACCCCUUAUGGGAGGCAGCCGACAGUAAACAAAGCUCGCCGCGUGCAAGUUGGCUUAAAUGUCAGCAAACAAUCGAAUUGACGGGGACCUCCUAAAGCCUGCAACACCAACCGUCCGGGAAACUCGGGCGGGGCCCUCACGGGGUGGUAAGAGAGUGUAGGAUGUUCAAUGGACGAUCCGCAGCGAAGACCCUACCGGCUACCAAGCCCACGGGUCCGUUCACAGACUAAGUGAUUGUGGGCGGGGCUUCAUGCCCUGUCUAAGUAUAGUCGGCCUCUGUGCGAAAGCCUAGAGAAGCGCGUCCGUAGGUGAACUGCGGAAGGAUCAUUAAAGAACGCCCCGUUUUUUGAAAUGGGUAAUUCCAAACCGUGUCUAAUAUACCUUUGUUGCUUUGGCAGGCCGCCUUCUAGGGUCGGCUCCGGCUGACUGCGCUUGCCAGAGGACCCAAACUCGUUUUGUUAGUGUCGUCUGAGUACUAUAUAAUAGUUUAAAACUUUCAACAACGGAUCCUUGGUUCUGGCAUCGAUGAAGAACGCAGCGAAAUGCGAUAAGUAAUGUAAUUGCAGAAUUCAGUGAAUCAUCGAAUCUUUGAACGCACAUUGCGCCCUUGGUAUUCCGAGGGGCAUGCCUGUUCGAGCGUCAUUAUAACCAUUCAAUUUCGACUUGGUAUUGGGGUUCGCGGUUUCGCGGCCCUUAAAAUCAGUGCGGUGCCAUCUGGCUCUAAGCGUAGUAAUUCUCUCGCUACAGGGUCCGGUGGUUGCUUGCCAGAAUCCCCCACUUUUAUAGGUUGACCUCGGAUCAGGAGGGAUACCCGCUGAACUUAAGCAUAUCAAUAAGCGG